GAUGAACGCUAGCUACAGGCUUAACACAUGCAAGUCGAGGGGUAACGAGAGGAAAGCUUGCUUUCCUUGUCGACGACCGGCGCACGGGUGAGUAACGCGUAUCCAACCUGCCCCCAACUAGGGAAUAACCUUGCGAAAGUAAGACUAAUACCCUAUAAUUUCCUCAGAUGUCAUCUGACGAGGAAUAAAGAUUUAUCGGUUGUGGAUGGGGAUGCGUCUGAUUAGCUUGUUGGCGGGGUAACGGCCCACCAAGGUAACGAUCAGUAGGGGUUCUGAGAGGGAGGUCCCCCACAUUGGAACUGGGACACGGUCCAAACUCCUACGGGAGGCAGCAGUGAUGAAUAUUGGUCAAUGGGCGGAAGCCUGAACCAGCCAAGUAGCGUGCAGGAUGACGGCCCUAUGGGUUGUAAACUGCUUUUAUACAGGAAUAAAGUUAGCCACGUGUGGUUAUUUGUAGGUACUGUAUGAAUAAGGACCGGCUAAUUCCGUGCCAGCAGCCGCGGUAA
RNAcentral lists this ribosomal RNA (506 nucleotides) under uncultured bacterium. Its description in RNAcentral is "partial 16S ribosomal RNA". It matches the Rfam family "Bacterial small subunit ribosomal RNA", at positions 28 to 523 of the family's 1533-position model. The record is from RNAcentral.